Molecule: non-coding RNA, 1144 nt
Organism: Biomphalaria pfeifferi
Lineage: Eukaryota; Metazoa; Mollusca; Gastropoda; Planorbidae
Source: the annotation of a GenBank genome assembly
CUUUGAGUUCAUAAGCCCAUGUAUUGUUUGAAUCAAGUUGUCAACAUACUAAACAACAGAAACACUAAACAGAUCACUCAUCAAAACAAUGUUUUUCUUUUCAUUAAACAGAUUUAGUUUUAAAUAGUCAUACUACAAAUACUACCACAGCCAUUUCACCAAGUUGUAUUCUUAGUUCAUUAUUUCUGUUCACAAAGAUGAACACAAACUGGGAGAUCUACAGGGAAUGGUAACAACAAAGAUUGUGAUUGCACUGGCUAACACAACAAGUCCAGGUGAAAACACUCAUGCAGUUUCAAAUGUUCAAUGUGUUUUUUUUUAAUACAAAGAAUGAAACUCAAUUCACUUUUGGUUAGCUCAUUUCAGACCACCCCAAAAUGAAAUGUUCUUAGAAAGUCACCCUGUAGUACGAUGCUGAAAAGUUUGAGAACCAUUUAUAUGACUGAACGUAUGAUAAUGAGGCUUAAAAUAAACAAUAUUACAUAAACAAUACCUUGUCCCCAUCUAACCUUCCAACAAAAUUCUGACAGUUUCACAUAAUGGAGAACAAAAAAACAAUUUUAAAAAAAAAGCACAUUUCAUAAUACACUCAAAAUAAAUGGUUCUGGACAUCCAAAUCUUCAGUGUUUUGAUUCUUUGAGUAUUUCUAGAGCUCAAAAAAAAUGUCACAACUACACAGGCUCUGUUGUAUACAAGGAAUAAAUGCUCACGACAAGUAAAAUGCUGAAAUUGCUAGACUACAAUUCAAUGGCUCAAUACAAGCACAGGAAGUUCCCAGAGUAUCUGCCCUACAGAGUUUUGGUUAUUCUCACAGAUUGAGUUGCAAACAAUCAUCACAGUGUAACAUGAGGUCAACCCACCCCAUGGCUCUAAUAACAAAUAAUACACUAGUUUAACUCCUUCAACCAGCAUGCAGAAGUUUAUUAUACAGAUAACACAACAGUUUUAGAAUAACUUAGACAUACACAUUGUAAAUACAAUUUGCUGUGUAAUACCUUGAUAUAAAAUAUAAAGAGUUUAAUAAAUAAGUUUUAAGGGAAGAAACAUUUAAGGAGGAUGGCUUUAUAUAUAUAUAUACAUAAUAACAGAACAUUUUCACAAAUUCAUUUCUCAGAAAGCUAAAUUCAAUUUUUUUUUUUUUUUU